GGUGGUUCAGUGGUAGAAUAUUUGCCUUGCAUGCAUGAGGGCCUGGGUUCGAUUCCUCAGCACCA
RNAcentral lists this transfer RNA (65 nucleotides) under Dipodomys ordii (Ord's kangaroo rat). It matches the Rfam family "tRNA". From Rfam's summary of the family: Transfer RNA (tRNA) molecules are approximately 80 nucleotides in length. Lineage: Eukaryota; Metazoa; Chordata; Mammalia; Rodentia; Heteromyidae. The record is from Rfam by way of RNAcentral.